RNAcentral lists this unclassified non-coding RNA (155 nucleotides) under soil metagenome. RNAcentral's name for it is "partial internal transcribed spacer 1". The record is from RNAcentral.
CAGGUGACCCCGGUCUAACCACCGGGAUGUUCAUAACCCUUUGUUGUCCGACUCUGUUGCCUCCGGGGCGACCCUGCCUUCGGGCGGGGGCUCCGGGUGGACACUUCAAACUCUUGCGUAACUUUGCAGUCUGAGUAAACUUAAUUAAUAAAUUA